Molecule: ribosomal RNA, 436 nt
Filed under: uncultured Acetobacteroides sp.
Lineage: Bacteria; Pseudomonadati; Bacteroidota; Bacteroidia; Bacteroidales; Rikenellaceae
Description: bacterial SSU rRNA
Rfam family: Bacterial small subunit ribosomal RNA
Source: RNAcentral
CAGCAGUGAGGAAUAUUGGUCAAUGGGCGGAAGCCUGAACCAGCCAUGCCGCGUGCGGGAAGAAGGCGCUACGCGUCGUAAACCGCUUUUGUCCGGGGGUAACCGCGGGGACGUGUCCCCGCCUGCAAGUACCGGACGAAUAAGGGUCGGCUAACUCCGUGCCAGCAGCCGCGGUAAUACGGAGGACCCGAGCGUUAUCCGGAUUCAUUGGGUUUAAAGGGUGCGCAGGCGGCCCGGUCAGUCAGCGGUGAAAUGCCCGCGCUUCACGCGGGAGCUGCCGUUGAUACUGCCGGGCUAGAAUCUCAGCGAGGCGGGCGGAAUGCGCGGUGUAGCGGUGAAAUGCAUAGAUAUCGCGCAGAACGCCGAUUGGGGAGCCAGCUCGCCAGCUGGGUAUUGACGCUGAGGCACGAAAGCGUGGGGAUCGAACAGGAUUAGA